GCACUGGCAGUUCAGUGGUAGAGUUUUCCCUUUCCAUACAGGAGGCCUGGGUUCUAUUCCCAGCCAGUGCA
Molecule: transfer RNA, 71 nt
Filed under: Loxodonta africana (African savanna elephant)
Lineage: Eukaryota; Metazoa; Chordata; Mammalia; Proboscidea; Elephantidae
Rfam family: tRNA
About the family: Transfer RNA (tRNA) molecules are approximately 80 nucleotides in length. Their secondary structure includes four short double-helical elements and three loops (D, anti-codon, and T loops). Further hydrogen bonds mediate the characteristic L-shaped molecular structure. tRNAs have two regions of fundamental functional importance: the anti-codon, which is responsible for specific mRNA codon recognition, and the 3' end, to which the tRNAs corresponding amino acid is attached (by aminoacyl-tRNA synthetases). tRNAs cope with the degeneracy of the genetic code in two manners: having more than one tRNA (with a specific anti-codon) for a particular amino acid; and 'wobble' base-pairing, i.e. permitting non-standard base-pairing at the 3rd anti-codon position.
Source: Rfam by way of RNAcentral